GACGAACGCUGGCGGCGUGCCUAACACAUGCAAGUCGAACGGAGAUACGAUUUCGGUUGUAUCUUAGUGGCGAACGGGUGAGUAACGCGUGAGCAACCUGACCUUCAGAGGGGGAUAACAUUUGGAAACAGAUGCUAAUACCGCAUAAGACCACGACCCGACAUCGGGAUGAGGUCAAAGGAGCAAUCCGCUGGAGGAGGGGCUCGCGUCCCAUUAGAUAGAUGGCGGGGUAACGGCCCACCAUGCCGACGAUGGGUAGCCGAGCGGAGAGGCUGAUCGGCCACACUGGAACUGGGACACGGUCCAGACUCCUACGGGAGGCAGCAGUGGGGAAUAGUGGGCAAUGGGCGCAAGCCUGACCCAGCAACGCCGCGUGAGGGAAGAAGGCUUUCGGGUUGUAAACCUCUGUCCUUGGUGACGAAACAAAUGACGGUAGCCAAGGAGGAAGCCCCGGCUAACUACGUGCCAGCCGCCGCAGUAA
This 481-nucleotide ribosomal RNA is filed under the name uncultured bacterium. RNAcentral describes it as "partial 16S ribosomal RNA". It matches the Rfam family "Bacterial small subunit ribosomal RNA", at positions 28 to 523 of the family's 1533-position model. The record is from RNAcentral.